RNAcentral lists this ribosomal RNA (611 nucleotides) under Escherichia coli. Its description in RNAcentral is "partial 23S ribosomal RNA". It matches the Rfam family "Bacterial large subunit ribosomal RNA", at positions 582 to 1194 of the family's 2925-position model. Lineage: Bacteria; Pseudomonadati; Pseudomonadota; Gammaproteobacteria; Enterobacterales; Enterobacteriaceae. The record is from RNAcentral.
CGCUUCGGCGUGUGACUGCGUACCUUUUGUAUAAUGGGUCAGCGACUUAUAUUCUGUAGCAAGGUUAACCGAAUAGGGGAGCCGAAGGGAAACCGAGUCUUAACUGGGCGUUAAGUUGCAGGGUAUAGACCCGAAACCCGGUGAUCUAGCCAUGGGCAGGUUGAAGGUUGGGUAACACUAACUGGAGGACCGAACCGACUAAUGUUGAAAAAUUAGCGGAUGACUUGUGGCUGGGGGUGAAAGGCCAAUCAAACCGGGAGAUAGCUGGUUCUCCCCGAAAGCUAUUUAGGUAGCGCCUCGUGAAUUCAUCUCCGGGGGUAGAGCACUGUUUCGGCAAGGGGGUCAUCCCGACUUACCAACCCGAUGCAAACUGCGAAUACCGGAGAAUGUUAUCACGGGAGACACACGGCGGGUGCUAACGUCCGUCGUGAAGAGGGAAACAACCCAGACCGCCAGCUAAGGUCCCAAAGUCAUGGUUAAGUGGGAAACGAUGUGGGAAGGCCCAGACAGCCAGGAUGUUGGCUUAGAAGCAGCCAUCAUUUAAAGAAAGCGUAAUAGCUCACUGGUCGAGUCGGCCUGCGCGGAAGAUGUAACGGGGCUAAACCAUGCAC